RNAcentral lists this ribosomal RNA (500 nucleotides) under uncultured bacterium. RNAcentral's name for it is "partial 16S ribosomal RNA". It matches the Rfam family "Bacterial small subunit ribosomal RNA", at positions 30 to 523 of the family's 1533-position model. The record is from RNAcentral.
AUUGAACGCUGGCGGAAUGCUUUACACAUGCAAGUCGAACGGCAGCACGGACUUCGGUCUGGUGGCGAGUGGCGAACGGGUGAGUAACAUAUCGGAACGUAUCCAAUAAUGGGGGAUAACGAGUCGAAAGACUCGCUAAUACCGCAUACGCCCUACGGGGGAAAGCUGGGGACCUUCGGGCCUGGCGUUAAUGGAGCGGCCGAUAUCUGAUUAGCUAGUUGGUGAGGUAAAGGCUCACCAAGGCGACGAUCAGUAGCUGGUCUGAGAGGACGACCAGCCACACUGGAACGGAGACACGGUCCAGACUCCUACGGGAGGCAGCAGUGGGGAAUUUUGGACAAUGGGCGCAAGCCUGAUCCAGCCAUUCCGCGUGAGUGAAGAAGGCCUUCGGGUUGUAAAGCUCUUUCGCAAGGGAAGAAAACUUAGCCACUAACAUUGGUUGAGGUUGACGGUACCUUGAUAAGAAGCACCGGCUAACUACGUGCCAGCAGCCGCCGUAA